Molecule: ribosomal RNA, 250 nt
Filed under: uncultured bacterium
Lineage: Bacteria
Description: partial 16S ribosomal RNA
Rfam family: Bacterial small subunit ribosomal RNA
Source: RNAcentral
UGGGGAAUAUUGGACAAUGGGCGAAAGCCUGAUCCAGCCAUGCCGCGUGAGUGAUGAAGGCCCUAGGGUUGUAAAGCUCUUUCACCGGUGAAGAUAAUGACGGUAACCGGAGAAGAAGCCCCGGCUAACUUCGUGCCAGCAGCCGCGGUAAUACGAAGGGGGCUAGCGUUGUUCGGAAUUACUGGGCGUAAAGCGCACGUAGGCGGACUAUUAAGUCAGGGGUGAAAUCCCGGGGCUCAACCCCGGAACU